UACGAAGGGGGCUAGCGUUGCUCGGAAUUACUGGGCGUAAAGCGUGCGCAGGCGGUUCGUUGUGUCGGCGGUGAAAGCCCCGGGCUUAACCUGGGAAUGGCCGUUGAAACUGGCGAACUGGAGUGUGGCAGAGGGGGGUGGAAUUCCGCGUGUAGCAGUGAAAUGCGUAGAGAUGCGGAGGAACACCGAUGGCGAAGGCAGCCCCCUGGGCUGACACUGACGCUCAGGCACGAAAGCGUGGGGAGCAAACAGG
RNAcentral lists this ribosomal RNA (253 nucleotides) under uncultured bacterium. RNAcentral's name for it is "partial 16S ribosomal RNA". It matches the Rfam family "Bacterial small subunit ribosomal RNA", at positions 524 to 776 of the family's 1533-position model. The record is from RNAcentral.